UACGUAGGGUCCAAGCGUUAUUCGGAAUUACUGGGCGUAAAGCGUUCGUAGGCGGUUUUGUAAGUUGGAUGUGAAAUCCUGUGGCUCAACCACAUGGACUGUGUCCAAAACUACAAGACUAGAGCAUAGUAGAGGCAAGUGGAAUUUGCAGUGUAGGAGUGACAUCCGUAGAUAUUGCAAGGAACACCAAUGGCGAAGGCAGCUUGCUGGGCUAUUGCUGACGCUCAGGAACGAAAGCGUGGGGAGCGAACGGGAUUAGAUACCCCGGUAGUCCACGCCGUAAACGAUGAUCACUAACAGUAUGGAGAUUCGACCCUCUGUGUUGUACAGCUAACGCGUUAAGUGAUCCGCCUGGGGAGUACGGGCGCAAGCUUAA
RNAcentral lists this ribosomal RNA (376 nucleotides) under uncultured bacterium. RNAcentral's name for it is "bacterial SSU rRNA". It matches the Rfam family "Bacterial small subunit ribosomal RNA", at positions 524 to 897 of the family's 1533-position model. The record is from RNAcentral.